AGCGAACGCUGGCGGCAGGCCUAACACAUGCAAGUCGAACGAACUCUUCGGAGUUAGUGGCGGACGGGUGAGUAACACGUGGGAACGUGCCUUUUGGUUCGGAAUAACUCAGGGAAACUUGUGCUAAUACCGAAUGUGCCCUUCGGGGGAAAGAUUUCUCGCCAUUAGAGCGGCCCGCGUCUGAUUAGCUAGUUGGUGAGGUAACGGCUCACCAAGGCGACGAUCAGUAGCUGGUCUGAGAGGAUGACCAGCCACACUGGGACUGAGACACGGCCCAGACUCCGACGGGAGGCAGCAGUAGGGAAUCUUGCGCAAUGGGCGAAAGCCUGACGCAGCCAUGCCGCGUGAAUGAUGAAGGUCUUAGGAUUGUAAAAUUCUUUCACCGGGGACGAUAAUGACGGUACCCGGAGAAGAAGCCCCGGCUAACUUCGUG
Molecule: ribosomal RNA, 433 nt
Filed under: uncultured bacterium
Lineage: Bacteria
Description: partial 16S ribosomal RNA
Rfam family: Bacterial small subunit ribosomal RNA
Source: RNAcentral